GGUUUUUAGUUUUAUUUAAAGAUCGGUUCUGCUCAAUGAUUUUUUUCAAUAGCUGCGGUAGGUUGACUGUGCGAAGGUAGCAUAAUAGUUAGUUUAUUAAUUGUGAACUGGUAUGAAAGGGCUGAUGGGGGGCUUUCUGUCUGUUUUUAUAAAUUGAAUUUGACUUAUAUGUAAGAAGGCGUAUUUAUCUUUAAGGGACGAUAAGACCCUAUAGAAUUUUAAGUUUGAUUUAAGUUUGGAAAAGUUUAUAAUUUUCUUUUUAUAGUGGGUUUUUAGUUGGGGUGACUGGAAUAAGAGUUUAACUUUUUUUUUUGGUUUCAAGGUUGUUUGAUUGGUUGACUUGAUUAAGAGUUUAAGAUUAAAUUACCUUAGGGAUAACAGCAUUAUUUUUUUGGAGAGUUCUAAUCGAUAAGAGAGUUUGUGACCUCGAUGUUGAAUUAAGGUUUCUUAGGGGUGCAGUGUUUUUAUAAGUUAGUCUGUUCGACUAUUAAAAUCUUACA
RNAcentral lists this ribosomal RNA (500 nucleotides) under Ptilocerembia sp. KBMEB151. Its description in RNAcentral is "partial 16S ribosomal RNA". The stretch from base 374 to 500 matches the Rfam family "Bacterial large subunit ribosomal RNA", at positions 2473 to 2600 of the family's 2925-position model. The record is from RNAcentral. Lineage: Eukaryota; Metazoa; Arthropoda; Insecta; Embioptera; Ptilocerembiidae.